This 206-nucleotide long non-coding RNA is filed under the name Centruroides sculpturatus (bark scorpion). RNAcentral's name for it is "uncharacterized LOC111625700, transcript variant X2". The record is from RNAcentral. Lineage: Eukaryota; Metazoa; Arthropoda; Arachnida; Scorpiones; Buthidae.
UCAAUAUGGAGUCGUGUUAAGGAAGAGAGAAACAGCUUGGACGUAUUUUCGUCAAUAAAUUUAAUUAGGGAAAGAUCAUUCGAAUAAUUGAAUCCCAUAAUUGAAAGCAAUGAAAUUACAAAUAAAUCAAAAACAAUUUAGUCAUUUAACAAUCCAAAUUGUCGGAAAACGAAGAAUUUGAUGAAUAUUUUAUAAAUGUAAGACCA